GCUCCAAUUCGGGCCCUCAUCCGAGGACUCGUCGGGGUGACCCGAAAUGACCCGGAGAAGCCGUAGGGAGGUCCGGGGAGAGUUGUCUCUUCUCUAUAAGCGUUCGAGUUCCCUGGAAGCCUCUAGGAGGGAGAUAGGGUUUGGAACGCGAAGAGCACCGCACUUACGGCGGUGUCCGGAUCUUCCCCUCGGACCUUGAAAAUCCGGGCGAGGGCCACGAGGAACACCGCGCCGGCUCGUACCCAUAUCCGCAGCAGGUCUCCAAG
RNAcentral lists this ribosomal RNA (266 nucleotides) under Anasa varicornis. RNAcentral describes it as "partial large subunit ribosomal RNA". It matches the Rfam family "Eukaryotic large subunit ribosomal RNA", at positions 1609 to 1871 of the family's 3401-position model. Lineage: Eukaryota; Metazoa; Arthropoda; Insecta; Hemiptera; Coreidae. The record is from RNAcentral.